GAUGAACGCUGGCGGCGUGCCUAAUACAUGCAAGUCGAGCGAACAGACGAGGAGCUUGCUCCUCUGACGUUAGCGGCGGACGGGUGAGUAACACGUGGAUAACCUACCUAUAAGACUGGGAUAACUUCGGGAAACCGGAGCUAAUACCGGAUAAUAUAUUGAACCGCAUGGUUCAAUAGUGAAAGACGGUUUUGCUGUCACUUAUAGAUGGAUCCGCGUCGGAUUAGCUAGUUGGUAAGGUAACGGCUUACCAAGGCAACGAUGCGUAGCCGACCUGAGAGGGUGAUCGGCCACACUGGAACUGAGACACGGUCCAGACUCCUACGGGAGGCAGCAGUAGGGAAUCUUCCGCAAUGGGCGAAAGCCUGACGGAGCAACGCCGCGUGAGUGAUGAAGGUCUUCGGAUCGUAAAACUCUGUUAUUAGGGAAGAACAAAUGUGUAAGUAACUAUGCACGUCUUGACGGUACCUAAUCAGAAAGCCACGGCUAACUACGUG
Molecule: ribosomal RNA, 497 nt
Filed under: uncultured bacterium
Lineage: Bacteria
Description: partial 16S ribosomal RNA
Rfam family: Bacterial small subunit ribosomal RNA
Source: RNAcentral